This is a long non-coding RNA of Corapipo altera (White-ruffed manakin), 686 nucleotides long. RefSeq lists it as uncharacterized. The transcript has 3 exons. The record is from RefSeq and is a predicted model, not a curated record. NCBI's taxonomy places the organism in Eukaryota, Metazoa, Chordata, Aves, Passeriformes, Pipridae.
AUGGGGACUUCCCUGAGGGUUUUUGGGGUUUGGCAAGGACCCGAUGGUGGCAGUGCAGUGAGGGACCCCCAGGGCGGGCUGGAUCCCUGAGGAGAAGCUGGGAUUGUGCCCUGGAGAGGGUCUGUCCCCAAGACCUGCCCUGUCCCCUCAGCUGACGGCCACGGGGCCCGGCCGGCGCCUGCUCAGGGCCCGCGGCACCUACGUGGUGCUGAGGGAGCUGCACGGCUGGGAGAGGGACCCCGAGGUGCUCAGGGCCUGCCACAGGGUCAUCCAGGUCAGUGGGGGGACCCCGAGGUGCUCAGGGCCUGCCACAGGGUCAUCCAGGUCAGUGGGGGGUCAUGGGGUGCUCAGGGCCUGCCACAGGGUCAUCCAGGUCAGUGAGGGGCACCCCGAGGUGCUCAGGGCGUGCCACAGGGUCAUCCAGGUCAGUGAGGGGUCAUGGGGUGCUCAGGGCCUGCCACAGGGUCAUCCAGGUCAGUGGGGGGUCAUGGGGUGCUCAGGGCCUGCCACAGGGUCAUCCAGGUCAGUGGGGGGACCACAAGGUGCUCAGGGCCUGCCACAGGGUCAUCCAGGUCAGUGGGGGGACCCCAGGGUCAUCCAGGUCAGUGGGGGGACCCCGAGGUGCUCAGGGCCUGCCACAGGGUCAUCCAGGUCAGUGAGGGGGACCCCAGGGUCAUCCAGGUCAG